This 496-nucleotide ribosomal RNA is filed under the name uncultured bacterium. Its description in RNAcentral is "partial 16S ribosomal RNA". It matches the Rfam family "Bacterial small subunit ribosomal RNA", at positions 30 to 523 of the family's 1533-position model. The record is from RNAcentral.
AUUGAACGCUGGCGGAAUGCUUUACACAUGCAAGUCGAACGGUAGAGGGGGCAACCCCUCGAGAGUGGCGAACGGGCGAGUAAUAUAUCGGAACGUGCCCAGUCGUGGGGGAUAACGUAGCGAAAGUUACGCUAAUACCGCAUACGAUCUAAGGAUGAAAGCGGGGGAUCGCAAGACCUCGCGCGAUUGGAGCGGCCGAUAUCAGAUUAGGUAGUUGGUGGGGUAAAGGCUCACCAAGCCAACGAUCUGUAGCUGGUCUGAGAGGACGACCAGCCACACUGGAACUGAGACACGGUCCAGACUCCUACGGGAGGCAGCAGUGGGGAAUUUUGGACAAUGAACGCAAGUCUGAUCCAGCCAUUCCGCGUGCAGGAUGAAGGCCCUCGGGUUGUAAACUGCUUUUGUACGGAACGAAAAGGUCUCUCUUAAUACGGGGGGCUCAUGACGGUACCGUAAGAAUAAGCACCGGCUAACUACGUGCCAGCAGCCGCGGUAA